UAGGUUAUUUUUGUACUAGCAAGUUUAGUCCGGGUGAACUUUAUAUUCUCUGUUACACUUUGUUUGAUAACUUGGGACUUGUAUAUACAGGCGUUACGUGUCUGAGUUGUGAUUUUAGAGGAGAGAGUUUGGUGUCAGGUUUUCUUAACUGUUAACAUUCCAGGCAACUAACAUACUGCUGAGUAUGUUGUUUUUACAUCAUGAGGAGAUCCAGCUGUUUUAUGGCUCCAGUUAGAGAGUUAAUGGGUUUGCAUAAGAACGUUGCCAACAAAUACCGUUAUCUGGCUCACUUUCUGAGAGAUUUCUAACGUGAAGCAUCAAUUUGUAUCGCACAUCUAUUUGUGAAGGGAAUGGUCCGAAGAAAAUAAUAUGAAACGAUCGUCACUGUUCCUGUUUCACUUUCAUCUCCGAUGACGUACAUUACUAUUCCAGUUCUACUUUUAUCACUGUGACUUCGUAAAUUCAGACUGCUGGCCCCAUGUUACACAUUCUUCGUGGACUUUGAUAUAUUUCGAGACUGUUGUUGCCACACUUUGGCUGUUCUGGAUUCUACUUCAGCCUCAAUUCCACCAUGGACUGCUGAGACGAUGACGCAGUGAGACCAUUCUCUCUCUCUCAAUGGAUUAUAUUUCUUCUAUAUUAUGUUUUUUAUGUUUAUUAUGUAUUGGGAAAAUUGGUCCAAGAACUCAUGCUGGGAAAUGUUUAGCCACUGCAUUCUAAUGUCAAUAUAUUGUCAUGUUGUUACAUA
This is a long non-coding RNA of Hemicordylus capensis (graceful crag lizard), 748 nucleotides long. RefSeq lists it as uncharacterized. The record is from RefSeq and is a predicted model, not a curated record. The transcript is spliced from 2 exons. NCBI's taxonomy places the organism in Eukaryota, Metazoa, Chordata, Lepidosauria, Squamata, Cordylidae.